CCAGUUCGACUACGGAGUUGACGACCCCUCUCUCUUGCCAGAGCAACCAGAUGCUGGAGUCCAGGAGCCAGACGCCACCGUCGACGAUGACCCCUACUACACCGGAGGUGCCUACUACUACGUGCAGCCCGCUGACGACGUCCAGGAGUAGUUAGGAGGAUCCCAGGCAGGAGGCCUGCGCCUCUUUCGAUCUGUAUCCCAGUUUGUGCUAGCCUUCUUAAGGCAAACUUGUUUAACUUAGGUCUGUACUCAGAUAUUGUUGCUUCCGCUGACUCGUCUAUGAUCGAGCACUUGUAUUCGAGCCCUCGAGGCCCC
Molecule: ribosomal RNA, 315 nt
Filed under: Triticum aestivum (bread wheat)
Lineage: Eukaryota; Viridiplantae; Streptophyta; Magnoliopsida; Poales; Poaceae
Description: partial small subunit ribosomal RNA
Source: RNAcentral